Molecule: non-coding RNA, 209 nt
Filed under: Enterococcus durans
Lineage: Bacteria; Bacillati; Bacillota; Bacilli; Lactobacillales; Enterococcaceae
Description: T-box sequence
Rfam family: T-box leader
About the family: Uncharged tRNA acts as the effector for transcription antitermination of genes in the T-box leader family.
Source: RNAcentral
AAAAUAUCGAUGAAAGAGCGAGUAGGUUUCUGAGACUUUACAAGAGAGGAUCAUCUGGGCUGAGAAUGAUCUAAAGGGGCGAUUCUGAAAGACACUCUGGAGAUGAACGUGUAAAAAGCCGUUCCGUGUACGAGCGUUAAUCGUAAGAGGAAAGAGCAAUCUUUCAAAAUUAGGUGGUACCGUGUAUGAAUUAGUCAUUCGCCCUUGUU